Molecule: non-coding RNA, 23 nt
Filed under: Rattus norvegicus (Norway rat)
Lineage: Eukaryota; Metazoa; Chordata; Mammalia; Rodentia; Muridae
Source: RNAcentral
CAUGGUGAGAGCCCUGCAGACUU